GACGAACGCUGGCGGCGUGCUUAACACAUGCAAGUCGAACGGAAAGGCCCUGCUUUUGUGGGGUGCUCGAGUGGCGAACGGGUGAGUAACACGUGAGUAACCUGCCCUUGACUUUGGGAUAACUUCAGGAAACUGGGGCUAAUACCGGAUAGGAGCUCCUGCUGCAUGGUGGGGGUUGGAAAGUUUCGGCGGUUGGGGAUGGACUCGCGGCUUAUCAGCUUGUUGGUGGGGUAGUGGCUUACCAAGGCUUUGACGGGUAGCCGGCCUGAGAGGGUGACCGGCCACAUUGGGACUGGGAUGCGGCCCAGACUCCUACGGGAGGCAGCGGUGGGGAAUAUUGCACAAUGGGCGGAAGCCUGAUGCAGCAACGCCGCGUGCGGGAUGACGGCCUUCGGGUUGUAAACCGCUUUCGCCUGUGACGAAGCGUGAGUGACGGUAAUGGGUAAAGAAGCACCGGCUAACUACGU
Molecule: ribosomal RNA, 467 nt
Filed under: uncultured bacterium
Lineage: Bacteria
Description: partial 16S ribosomal RNA
Rfam family: Bacterial small subunit ribosomal RNA
Source: RNAcentral